GACAGAGGGUGCAAACGUUGCUCGGAAUCACUGGGCGUAAAGGGCGUGUAGGCGGGCGUGCAAGUCAGGCGUGAAAUCCCUGGGCUUAACCGAGGAACGACGCAUGAAACUGGCAAGCUAGAGUACCAAAGAGGGGGGUGGAAUUCCUAGUGUAGAGGUGAAAUUCGUAGAUAUUAGGAAGAACACCAGUGGCGAAGGCGGCUCACUGGCCCGGUACUGACGCUCAUGUGCGAAAGCGUGGGGAGCAAACAGG
Molecule: ribosomal RNA, 253 nt
Filed under: uncultured bacterium
Lineage: Bacteria
Description: partial 16S ribosomal RNA
Rfam family: Bacterial small subunit ribosomal RNA
Source: RNAcentral